This is a long non-coding RNA of Pan troglodytes (chimpanzee), 2475 nucleotides long. RefSeq lists it as uncharacterized. NCBI's taxonomy places the organism in Eukaryota, Metazoa, Chordata, Mammalia, Primates, Hominidae. The record is from RefSeq and is a predicted model, not a curated record. The transcript is spliced from 4 exons.
GGCAACCCGCUCGGGUCCCCUUCCACACUGUGGAAGCUUUGUUUUUUCGCUCCUUGCAAUAAAUUUUGCUGCUGCUCACCCUUUGGGUCCACACUGCGUUUAUGAGCUGUAACACUCACUGGGAAGGUCUGCAGCUUUACUCCUGAGGCCAGCGAGACCACGAACCCACUGGAAGGAAGAAACUGAACACAUCCGAACAUCAGAAGGAACAAACUGCGGACACGCGGCCUUUAAGAACUGUUAACACUCACCGCGAGGGUCCGCGGCUUCAUUCUUGAAGUCAGUGAGACCAAGAACCCACCAAUUCCAGACACACUAGCAGGGAGAAGCAGGCCCUAAGCCCAGUAAGCACACAGGUAAACAGGUUUAUAAGCCAGUAGUCACCCCAAGUUUGAACUGGAUUUUCUGCCACUGGCUCCUGGAGCCUGAGACCAUCAGCAUUGUUGGAAAUCUCUAGAAACACGCUACUCCCCGCAAUGCAUCUGUUCCCUGCGUCUCUGCAGCCUCACCAGCUCUGGGUAUUAUCAUCAAGCAGCAUUAAAGCCUAGAAUAUGAAAUUCAGGGGGAAACAACUGAUCCAAGGCGGGAGAGAACCAAAACCGGCCUCGCCUCUCCUCCUUGCGGUGAAUAGCCUUACACCUAUGUCAUCGAGUUAGUACAAAGUGGAGCAUGCACACGAUAAAUCUAUCAAGGGAGAAAACGAGAUACGGAACAGUCCAUAGGACAUACUCGGUUUUGUACAAGAAAGAGAGAAAAUAAGAAUAUGUUUUCAUAUUUGUUAUACUUCAACAAAGAUACUCUGGAUGGACAGAUGGAAAGCUGGAGCCAACAGGGAGCUGGAGAGAGGGUGGGGAUAGCACUCAAGAGUGCAGACACCCGCCCAGCUGUGUGCACAUGCAUGCAGCUGCCAGCAGCAACCAGAGCCACCCCUGGCAUCCUGUGUCAAGCCCACGGUGUUCUGGAGUAGUGAUGAAGGGCCUCUCCCUCAAACUGGACACCUUAAAUUCUGCUUCCUGCCACCAAGGGAAGACUCCAGAGGGGCCUGCCCCGGUUGAGGGACUGCCCAGUGACAGCCAUUUGGCUCCCUUCCUAUACUCAUAUAGACACAGCCUGGCCCAGGCGGUGACUGCUUCCUACCUGCACAGACACCACCUGACCCACACACGAGAGACCAGCAGAGCAGCCCACACCAUUGUCCCCAGAUCUUGGCACCCUGAAGAAGCUGAGCUGAGCACACACAAUUAAAAUCUCCCCUCUGCAGCCAGAGGAAGAACCUGGGCUUUGGGGAGGGCACCAGGAGCGGGCAGCUGGGGGCAGGGCCAUGCUCCCUUUUUGUCUCUAGCUGCCUUUUGUUCGAAGAUAAACAUGCCUCGGCCUCCUUCCCCUACCUGAAAGCCGCUUCUGCCGGCGAGAGAAAUCGUACACAAUCUCUGCUCUGGAUGUACAAAAAGUCUGAAAUUGCUUGGAGACCAGGCGGGAGGGAGCGGGGUGAGGCUGGGGGAUCAGGGCGGGUAAUUGCGGGUCAUCCAUCUGCCUUGUCGGAGGCACCAGCCCCGCAGCAUUUGCAGAGAGGACUCCGUGAAUUUGCUUUUUCCCCACAUCUUGCAUUACUUACUCUUUCCUCAGCAGCCAUAAAACCUUUUCCUAAAACUGCCCUCAAGCAUAAUAAACAGGAGACAUUCGGAACUGGUGAGAAAGACAACCCCAAAAUGAUGCACUUGAAGCCGAAUCUGCUUUGGGGGACUGGGAGGUUUCCACCGGACCCCAGCACUGCCGAGGACACCAGGGCUGCAGCAUGGUGGGGGGUCUCAGUCUCUCCCUCCUUCACCCUGCUCAGAGGAGUGACCCUGGAAGGCCGCCUCUGAAUGGGCCUUAGGGCUUAGAAGCUACCAGAACCCGCUCAGCCCACCUGCAUUCCUCCAGGUAGCCCACCAGUGACCCUUGAGUUGGGUUCCGCCUGGCCUAGAGCCAGUUCUCUCCCUGACUUGAAGUGAGCGGUGGAGAACAGGGGGCUGGGGUGAUGGGUAAUGUGACAUUGGAAUGACCUGCCCAGCACCCAGGCAGGAUGCAGGACCAAAGACUUCCCCAACCCACAGCCCCACAGGGGCUAACAAGACCAGAGCUUCGUGCUCCUUGUUGGGAGGAGCCGGACUUGCUGAGAAGCAGGGGGCUCAGCUCUGGAACCUUUUGCCUGGGGAAUACGGGCCACCGUGAGACCUUACCGCAGUCUUGUCACCUCACCGGGUCUUGGCUUCCCCAUUGAACAGUGUGAGCGGCACCGUGACAACAAUGGCAGGAAAUGUGUGUUGCUCACGUGGAACAUGCCAGGCCCGGCCCAAGCACUUGAUGUGGAGGCUGUCAUCUCGCGGCCCAGGUCGGCUGCAGGGUCAGGCUGUGCCAUGGCCGGGUGCGGUGGGGGGGGCUGUUUGUAAAUAACAACCUUUAUUUACAGUCUAUAAAGGCUCCAUUAAAGCC